GGAGAAGUACUCAAGUUGGUGAAGAGGCGCCCCUGCUAAGGGUGUAGGUCGGGAAACCGGCGCGAGAGUUCAAAUCUCUCCUUCUCCG
This 88-nucleotide transfer RNA is filed under the name Oscillospiraceae bacterium. Its description in RNAcentral is "tRNA-Ser". It matches the Rfam family "tRNA". From Rfam's summary of the family: Transfer RNA (tRNA) molecules are approximately 80 nucleotides in length. Their secondary structure includes four short double-helical elements and three loops (D, anti-codon, and T loops). Lineage: Bacteria; Bacillati; Bacillota; Clostridia; Eubacteriales; Oscillospiraceae. The record is from RNAcentral.